GGCGAACGCUGGCGGCGUGCUUAACACAUGCAAGUCGAGCGGUAAGGCCCUUUCGGGGGUACACGAGCGGCGAACGGGUGAGUAACACGUGGGUGACCUGCCCUCAGCUCUGGGAUAAGCCUGGGAAACCGGGUCUAAUACUGGAUAUGACUCCAUGACGCAUGUUGUGGGGUGGAAAGCCUUGUGCGGCUGAGGAUGGGCCCGCGGCCUAUCAGCUUGUUGGUGGGGUGANGGCCUACCAAGGCGACGACGGGUAGCCGGCCUGAGAGGGCGACCGGCCACACUGGGACUGAGACACGGCCCAGACUCCUACGGGAGGCAGCAGUGGGGAAUCUUGCGCAAUGGGCGAAAGCCUGACGCAGCGACGCCGCGUGAGGGAUGACGGCCUGUGU
Molecule: ribosomal RNA, 392 nt
Filed under: uncultured bacterium
Lineage: Bacteria
Description: bacterial SSU rRNA
Rfam family: Bacterial small subunit ribosomal RNA
Source: RNAcentral